Molecule: ribosomal RNA, 292 nt
Filed under: uncultured bacterium
Lineage: Bacteria
Description: partial 16S ribosomal RNA
Rfam family: Bacterial small subunit ribosomal RNA
Source: RNAcentral
GUGUCAGCCGCCGCGGUAAAACGUAGGAGCCUAGCGUUAUCCGAAUUUACUGGGCGUAAAGCGCGUGCAGGCGGCUUCGUAAGUGGAUUGUGAAAUCUCCCGGCUCAACUGGGAGGGGACGGUCCAGACUGCGAGGCUGGAGGCAGGGAGAGGGAGGUGGAAUUCCCGGUGUAGUGGUGAAAUGCGUAGAGAUCGGGAGGAACACCAGUGGCGAAAGCGGCCUCCUGGCCCUGACCUGACGCUGAGACGCGAAAGCUAGGGGAGCGAACGGGAUUAGAUACCCCUGUAGUCC